RNAcentral lists this ribosomal RNA (301 nucleotides) under uncultured bacterium. RNAcentral describes it as "partial 16S ribosomal RNA". It matches the Rfam family "Bacterial small subunit ribosomal RNA", at positions 509 to 807 of the family's 1533-position model. The record is from RNAcentral.
CAGUCGCCGCGGUAAAACGAGGGGGGCAAGCGUUGUUCGGAAUUAUUGGGCGUAAAGGGUGCGUAGGCGGCUUGACAAGUCUUGUGUGAAAUCUAUGGGCUCAACCCAUAGUCUGCACGGGAAACUGUCGGGCUUGAGAAUGGGAGAGGUGAGUGGAAUUUCCGGUGUAGCGGUGAAAUGCGUAGAUAUCGGAAGGAACACCUGUGGCGAAAGCGGCUCACUGGACCAUUUCUGACGCUGAUGCACGAAAGCUAGGGGAGCAAACAGGAUUAGAUACCCCCGUAGUCCCUGUCUCUUAUAC